AGCCCGCCCCCAUCUCCCGGGUCCGGCGUUCCUUCCUCUGCCCUCCCCUCCCCCCGCCUUUCCCAGAGGUCUUCGCGGUCUCGCGAGAUCAGGCUGGCCGCGGCUGGGGGCUGGCCGCGGGGCCGCGCUUUGUCGGUUUGAGCGACGGGGAGGGGGACGAUGGCGGUUGACUCCCUUCCCCCGCCGCCCUGGCUUCGCGGCGUUCCCACCGAGUUCCCCUCGCGGCGGGCGCGCGGCCUCCCCAGUGGGUUCCUAGCUGCCCUUUCGGUCCCCUGGGGACGCCCGUCGUCGGUCCUCGAGGCGGAAGUUGUUCCUCCUCCCUGCUCCUUUCGGCCUGGGCAGACGGUGAUGAUUGGGGGGGCCUGGCUCUUUCAUCCCAAGUGCUGUCUUUUAAGGUCCGAUGCCGGGGUCCAUGUACCCGCGGCGACGGUGACUCGCCAAGACACCAUUACAGGGUCGUGCGGCCCGUAGCCCGCCUUUCUCGCUCACUCCACGGCUCCCCUCCCCGGCACCAAGCCUGCUGGGGCUAGGCACACCCGCACACCCGUUUUCUAAAGAGGGAAACACCAAAUUAGUUCGUGACUCCGAGACCCUCCGGAAAGUGCGUCUCGGAGAGGUCUCCGUGUUCUCGUGCUCCACUAUAACUUUGCUCAAAACGAGUAUCACAUUGGGUUACCACUCCCGGAAUCCACUCCACAGUUUAUAAAUUGUGACUUCCUUGCUAGGCAAAGCAUAGCCCAAAGCAGGUGUUCCUAAUGAGGUUCCAGAGCGGUCCCUCUGGAAUGGCUAUUUAGAGCCUCUCAUGUUUUCCUUCUUUUGAAGUGAUUACAGAAACUCUCCCAUUCUCUCAAAAACUUAAAUUGUGCUUAAAAGUUUCAGUUGCUACUGUAAAAGCGAUCGAGUCCAUCCUGAAAUUUGCAAACAUAGUUGUUGUUAGCCAAGAGCCAAAUAAUGGAGCCACGGGCUCUAAUCUGCUUUCUGUGGUCUCCCCCAUCUGAAUAAAGUAGCAAUGUUGUUGAGGACAUGGUGAGGUGGAUAAGAGUCUGCCCUUUGUUACAGAUCUGUCAAAUAUGCAAGAAGGUUGGCACUGAAAGCGUGAAUUUGCCCCUCGAGCAAGAUCAAGUCUGCACGGACCAAGAACCUUGGUGUUUCUGAGCUGUGGGCCACUGAGGGGCCCAGGACAUUGCCCUCUGUGAUGAGCCAUCUGGUUGGACAGCGGGCCUCUAUGACAUCCUACUCUCAGCUAUCUCUAGCCUCCAUCGCACCGUUGGAGCAGAGCUUAGUUAGGCAAGUUCCUGUCUCCCCUGCUGGAGUAGGAGCUAUAGGGGAUUAUGCAUUGUUUUUCUUCUGGCAAUAGCCUGUCACAGGGGUGUGCGAAGAGCAGACAUUCAAAGCUGCUAGGAGGGAACUGAAGGUUAUCUGAUGAGUACAGAGGUGGUAAAGGCGUUGACUAUGUUGAAAGCUAGUGUCCCAAACCAGGGUAAUCUAAGGCGCCCAGGUUAAUAAACAUUUCUGAGUUGCUGGGCUACAGGCCCCGCCCACAUCACAGGCCCUGCCCAGGGGCCUUCUGUAAACAAAUAGCAGCUCUCUGACUCCCACUGAAGCUCGUCCACUCCUGAAAUCUCUGACCCUCUGGGCAGGAUGUCUCCCUGCCUUUGUGACAGGCCCCUCCCACCCGAUACUUCCACCGCACCUCUGGCUUUCAGAUGGCACUUUGUUGCAUCUGCCUGUUUACUGGUCUGCCUCCCUCAUUAGGCUGAACAGCUUGUGGUCAGGGGACCUGUCCUUGAGGAGCGCACGGAGUCGGCUACAAAGGGGACAGAGGCAGGAGGCAGAGGUGUCUACGAGGAAGAGAUGAAGUGAGGUGUCACUGGAGACGGACAUGAUGUCGUCUUGCUCCCGAGCAUCUGACUCCAAGCGGAGCCUGUCUUCUGUCGUUCCUGGAAAAAGAGAAAAAAGUACACGAUUGUACUGAUUCAGUAGAUGGCGGAGAAAUGUGGAUGACUUGGAGAACAGGCUCUGCUCUUGGGUUGCUUGAGUCUUGGUCGCCGGGGAGCCACGCACAGUACAGGGCGGCAGCUAUGCUGGUCUCGUCUGGCUUGCCUCAGGUCCUGUCUUCGGGGAAACAAAGUGUUUGGCUACCUAGCUGCACCCUCACCUGCUCAAGUCUGGUGGCUGCAGGAAAGGCCUUUGCUCAGACUUCGGGCCCCGCUGUGGGAGGGCACCACAACAAAGGGCCUGGGGGAGGCCGAGGGGCGUCCUGCGGCCAGUUGUCCCCCCGGAGACCCUGCGAUUCCCGCUGACUCCUGACAGCCGUUUGCAAGCCUUUGUGAGGGGGCAUCUUUGCGUGUUCCCACCUCUGCCACACACUGUUCUCUUUAGUUGUGAAUCUGACACAUUUUUUUUUUAAUUUUUAAAAACGUUUAUUUAUUUUUGAGACAGAGAGAGACAGAGCAUGAGCAUGGGAGGGGCAGAGAGGGAGGGAGACAGAAUCCGAAGCAGGCUCCAGGCUCUGAGCUGUUAGCACAGAGCCCGAUGUGGGGCUCGAACUCACAAACCGCGAGAUCAUGACCUGAGCUGAAGUCGGACACUUAACCCAUUGAGCCACCCAGGUGCCCCCUGGACUCUGUAUUUCUUAAAGGAUGUCUCUCUUGCUUAUCUAUGCAGGACUUGGUUUCCCGAAGCCCGUGGUUCUCAAAUAGAGACACACGAGAGGAGGCGGGACCCAAGGGCUGAGGGUGUAUCUCCUCACGACGCUGACCUGCUUCAAGCAACCACUGUGUAUCGCGCCUGUGGCCGAGCAGGACAUUAGAGACGCAGGGGACCCCUGCAGCGAAUGUGCAUCAGAUGCCAUCUGUGUGCCAGCUCGAGGGAAGUUAGACGUUUGAGACCUUGCCCUAGUGUUCUAGGGCCGCUGGAACCAAGUAGCACAGACCCGGUGUGAGACAACAGAUUUCUUCUCCCCUGGUUCUGGAGGCCAGAAGUCUGAAAUCAAGGUUCCUGCAGGGCUGUGCCCUCUCUCUGUGCCUGGCGAUGGCCGGCCGUCCUGGAUGCUCUUCUGCUUGCUGUUGGUUGGACGCAAGCGCUGUCUCUGGCAGGUGACCCUCUUCCCUCUGCGUCGUCGCAGGGCGGUCUCUCUGCGUGUGCCUGUCUCUGUGUCUUCUCAGAAGGAUGCCAGACAUGUUGGACGUAGGGCCCGCCCUACACCCUGGCCCAGUAUGACCUCCUCUUAACUUGAUUUCAUUCGCAGAGACCCUGUUUCCAAAUAAGGACUCAUUCCCCUCAUUCAGGAUCCGGACUUCCACGUAUCCUUUGGGGAGAUAGAGUUGAACUUGCGGCUGACAUUUAAAGAAGGACCCCAAACAACUCCAAAUGUAAAACUUGGCCCUGGCUCGUCACUCAUGUUUGGGAGACAAGACUCCCGAAGUGUCAGCAAGGAUCCGGUGGCCGUCUGCCUUCCUGGAGCACGAACAGUUGGCCUCAGUGCUUCAUGCACACCGACCACUUAAUCCCUAACACAGCCCUCCCAGGGAGAUUCUGUUGCCAGUGGACUUUGCAGAUGAGGAAACUGAGGUGCAGAGAGGUCAUACAGCUUUGCCAAAGUCCCUGGGGAGCAGAGCUGGGUGUGUGUGUGUGUGUGUGUGUGUGUGUGUGUGUGUGUGAAUGACAGCGAGUGCCAGCAGGUUGUUUCCCGUUCUCUUCAGACCCUUGGCCCUUGUGAUAGGGACAGGUGAGGCUAACCUUUGUCUCAGCUGCCAUCACAAAACCCAGUGCUUACCUCCUUUAUCAUCCCCCUGGGGCGUGUGCUGCUCUGUGACUUCCCAGGGCGAUCGCAGGGGGCUUUGGGCAUGAUGUAGAAAAGGUCUGAUUACUUUCUUGAUCCCUAAACUCCCACUUGCACAAGAUUUAGUCCCAUAUUUAGGGUCAGUUUCCUGCAUCUACUGGCAGAUGGAAGAGCCAUCCAGAACCCAUAACAAUAUGCUCUAAAUAACGUUUAUUUUGUGGUACUGAUCCAUCCGAGUAAAUAUAGUUAGUACCAGAUGGGACUUUUGCAAUCUAGAGUUCUGAAGGCAAGAAAGGAUUCGUUUUGAGUUUCCUUAAAUUAGGUGAGCAAUUUUUUUCUUGGGCUAUCAACCCCCACGUUCAACAUUCCCAGCGUGACAUUUUGUACUGUUAUACUUGGUAAGUAAAGCUUAGCUAUUCUGAGGUUUAUGUGCCAGGAGCCUGUGCUCAGAGUUCCCUUUUUAGUUGCGCUCAUAAAGGCUGCUCACAUGUUUGGGUAUUUCAUGCAGAAAGAAGUCUUUCGGGCUAGGUCAUUCUCGGUUAGAUAUUUACAAAGUUCACGGCUAUUUUUAACACACACCUCUGCUGCCUUAAAACCACAGUCAGCAUUUAAAGCCAUGACUGGCUUCUCUCACUUGGCAUAAUGUCUGCAAGGUUCACCCAUUGUGCUAAGUGAAAGAAGCCAGUCACAAAAGGACAAAUGCUGUAUAAGUCCACUUAGAUGAGGUUCCUAGGGUAGGCAGAUUCAUGGAAGCAGAAAGUAACAGGGUGGAUGCCAGGGGCUGGGGGAGGGGGUAAUAGGGAGUUAGCGUUUCACAGGGAAAGAGUUUCAGGUCGGGAAGGUGGAAACAUUCUGGAGAUGGAUGGUGGUUUUCUAACAAUGUGACUAUACUCAGUGCCACUGAACCGUAUACAUAAAAAUGGCUAAAACGGUAAAUUUUAUGUUGUGUAUAUUUUACAAAACAAAAAAACAUCCUAUAAUAACCUAAGCAACUCUAUGUAAAUGGGUACAAGUGAUACAAUUGAUAGAAACCUCACAUGCCUGCGAUUAAAUAUGAUGCGUAUCGUAAA
This is a long non-coding RNA of Prionailurus viverrinus (fishing cat), 4854 nucleotides long. RefSeq lists it as uncharacterized. The transcript is spliced from 4 exons. The record is from RefSeq and is a predicted model, not a curated record. NCBI's taxonomy places the organism in Eukaryota, Metazoa, Chordata, Mammalia, Carnivora, Felidae.